This is an RNA transcript of Callithrix jacchus (white-tufted-ear marmoset), 11452 nucleotides long. It is a transcript of the gene named ADP-ribosylation factor-like protein 5A pseudogene, with no coding region annotated. Lineage: Eukaryota; Metazoa; Chordata; Mammalia; Primates; Cebidae. The record is from RefSeq and is a predicted model, not a curated record.
GAAGAUUUUGUCUCCUUAAAACUGAUGCUCUGCAUUUGUUUCUCAUUUGGACAUGUAUAAUAUAGCAGUGUCUUUUCUCCGGAUGCCGAGAAUACCAAAUCUGUAGAUGUAGAGUCAUUCAUCUAUAUCGCAAGAAGCAGAGAAAGAAACCAAUUGUCCUUAAACAGAAAAAAAACUAUAAUUUAAGGAGUAAAUUAUAAAGGAGGCUACUCUGGUUAGGGAGAGUAUUUACAGUAAGGAAACAGAAAAGCAGACUUUCUAUUUGAAAAUUAAAACAGAUAUCGAGAAAAAUAAUUUUAAUGUGACAAUUGAGGAAAUAAUAUAUACCACAAGUGGUACUUUGAAAGCCUCAAAUUCAUGCUGAUUUCUAAAGUAAGUGCAGACUUGAAAACAUGAUUAGGGCAACUUAAAAAAAAAUUAAGACUCUAAUGUAAACAAAACACUUUAAAUAGUUGAUAUAUAUUUCCUGAUUUAAUAUUCGUAACUACCUGGUGAGUUGGCAAUACUAUCUCUAUUUUAUAGGAAGGAAACUACAUGUCAGAGAUGUUCUGACCUCAGUGUCAAAUAUUCAAUCCAUGUCUGUCUGAUUUCAAACUUGUGUUUUUUUCUAUCAUACCCUGUUACCUCUGAAUAAAAAUAGAACUGAAUGACUAAGAAUUAGAAUAAUGAGCAUUUUUGGAACUAGAAACAACAUCGAAACCAUUUGUUUGGUUCCACUAUUGUACAGAUAAGAAAUUGGGGUCCUGGGUCCCAGAAAAUCUGUGAUUUGUGCAAAGUUCCAGAGUUGUUUGAUAGUGGGGUCGCUUUGAGAACUGGGCAUUCAAUUCCUAGUUUAGGUCUUUCUACCACAUUAUGCCUGAGGUGAAGCUGAGCAUCUGGUUUACAUUUUUAUAUCUCUAAAGGAGCAAAAAAGAAAAAGAAAAAGAAAAAAAGGACCUGUUCAAAUAGUGGUGCAAGCCAGGCAGGGCAUGAUGGAUACCUGUGUGGUCCCAGCUACUUGGGAGACUGAGGCAGGAGGAUGCUUGAGCCGGAGUUGGAAGCUGCAGUGAGCUAUGAUGGCGCCACUACACUCUAUCCUGAGCAGCAGAGCCAGACCCUGUCUCUAAAAAAAGAAAGAAAGAAAGAAAGGAAAGAAAAAAAGAAAAAUAAAAAAUAUAGAAGCAACAAGUAUAGAUUUACAUUCCAUUAGACAGUGACCCAUUAGACCUGGACACGGGCCUUAAACCAAAUACUGUGGCUCAAGCUUUAGCCCUGAAGGAACCCAGAAUGGAAGGAACACAUCAUAGCUCUCUUAGGUUAACGACUGGCAUCCCAAACAGAUUUCUUUUUAGCAAGAAAGAUAGCCACAGUGCUUGGAGAUUGGGAAUGUGAGUUUUCUUUCAAGGACAAAUGAUGGAGACCGUUGGAAGAACUUAUUUUUAAGCCCAGUGCUGUGCUCUCCAGGAUGGCUGCUGAUGAGGUGACUCAGUUUACCCAUUGGAGUCAUCUGUCCUGAUGAAAUGUACAUCUUAUGCAAGGUCAUGUUUAUGUUAGAGCCUUUGCUGACUUUUUCUUGUUUCUAUGUUGCACUUUCACCUAUUAAAAGCAAAUAAAAAGAAAGGCUCUGACCUAAGAUUUUAACGUGAUAAUAUAGCUAAGCAAGAGUACCUUUUUCCUUCCCAGGUUGAGCUCAGGUAAACAGGGCUUUAAGUUCUGAAUUCGGAAAAGACAAACAUAAAGUUAAUCCUGUUGUCCCAGACACAUACUUACCUUGCAGGAACGUAGCACUUUCUACGUCAUAAUCUUGAUUACAUUAACACCCGGUAAUUAGAACAUUUUAUUCUCAUGCUCUUUUAAACCCCAAUUGGUUGAACUUACGAAUACUUAACAUUUAUGUAUCACUAUGAAGGUGAGAAAUGCAAGAUGAUUGGAAUUUAAAGUAAGUCAGUUUUAAAUAUAAGUAUGUAUAUCUAUAAGUCUACUCCCCCUUCUUAGUCCGUUUGGGCUGCUGUAAGAAAACACCAUAGGCUAGGUGGCUUAUAAACAACAGAAAUUUAUUUCUCACAGUUCUGCAGGUUGGGAAGUUCAAGAUCAAGGCAUCAACAGAUUUUGUGACUGGUGAGGGCCUGCUUCCUGGUUCAUAGACAGCACGUUCUGCAUCUUCACAUGGCAAAAAGGGCAAACAAAAUCUUGCCAUCACAUUGGGGGUUGAGAUUUCAAUAUAUGAAUUUUGGGGGCUAUAAACAUUCAGACCAUAGCACCCCCCAUCAUUAUUUUAGUUUUAGCCAUUAAAAUGCUGUUGUUUCUGAAAUUCAAGGGCAGAAAUGAAAGAAUUCAGAGAUGCCAGAGAAUGAUGUAUGGUGAAUAUUUUACACAGCCUCAUGUAAUGCUUUGUGCAGGUAACUCUUAUAAGCACUUUUCUUGCCAUGCUUAUGUGGUGCCAGCUUUGGGAUUUCACAUGAAUAUGGAAAAUUACUCAGAAUUGGACUUAACAGAGUUAGUGAAGUCUUUAUUGUUCUUAUAAAUUGAACAUGGAAAAAUAGAUUGAGAAUACUGUAAGAAUUUAAUGUGUUUCAAGUUGCGUGCAUGGAAUUUCUGGAUUUACUUAGUUUGUGUAUAUAGAAAGUGCAAAAAGACAGUAUUCCUCUAGAGAUUUCCUUUAAAAAAAGAUUAAAAGCAGAGAGUCUUAAUUAUUUUUUUCUCUAGGCUUACAGGAAUUUUCUUGUGAUUAGUUACUAGGAAGCUCUGUAUUACCAGAUUUGGAGAAUUGGAAUAUAGUUUUUUAGGGCAGGUGUGGUGGCCUAUGCCUGUAAUCCCAACACUUUGGUAGGCUGAGGUGGAUGGAUCACUUGAGGCCAGGAGUUUGAGAUCAGCCUGGCCAGCAUAAUGAAACCCCAUCUCUACUAAAAGUAAACACACACACACACACACACACACACACACACACACAGAAAAAAAAAAGCCAGAUAUGAUGGCACAUGCCUGUAGUCCUGGCUACUUAGGAGGCUGAGGCAUGAGAAUGACUUGAACCCAGGCUAUGGAGGUUGCAGUGAGCUGAGAUCGUGCCACUGCACUCUAGCUUGGGCAACAGAGCAAGACUCUGUCUCUAAAUAAAUAAAUAAAUAUUUUCUUUAGUGCUUAGGAUGUAGGUGAAAGGAAAACAAUCAGAAUGAUGCAGGUCAUAGUGAUGGACUAGGUUAUGUUUAAUGAAUGUUCUUUGCCAACUUAGAGUUAUGAGAAAUAAAAUAGGGGCUUUCCCUUUAUUUACCCUGGACUUCAGUGCUGGGCUGGGCACUAUGAAAUAUACACAGCCCAUCCUGUGGGUCCAGCGUAGGCUCCUUGCUCCCUGCUCCUGCCUUGCACUGUACUUUUCCUCCACAGCCCUUAACUCUUCUUCCUGGCUAGGUGAUACUCUCUAUGAAGGUAGAGACUUUCAUUUGUCUUCAUCAUGCUUCUAUUUUUGGCCAAAGGCCUUAAUAAAUAUUAUGUGAAUGAAUGAAGAAGGUUUAUAGUUUCAGAGAAAAAAAAGGACAGAGACAUGAAAUUGGUAAUAAUCUAAGCUACCUGAAUACAUUAUGUGCUCAAACACAAAAUAGUACCAGCAGUAAGUUCUCACUUUAACAAUCAGAGGCCUAUGGAUCCAUUAUGGAUUGGAGUUAUUUUUAAAGAUGGAAGUUAAAGUACUUUAUUUAAAAUGCAAAUAUUAAAUCAGAAUCUUAGCAUGCAACAACUACCUAAACAGAAGGUACUAUGUGCCAGGAACUGUUCUAGGCACUUGACAUUAAUUAGCCCCUUUAAUCCUUACAGUAGCUGUAUGAAAUAGGCCCUGUUACUAGGACCAUUGACAGGAGACAUACCUGAGGUAGAGGUCAAACUCUCUGCCCGAGGUCGCGAGUACAUGGUGAGGUGGUCGUUGAAUUUCUGUGCUCUGGCUCCAGACUCUGUGUACUCAGCCACCCUCCUGGGAGGCCUCUCACUAUACUCUGCUAACUCUCUGUGAGCUCUUCAGUGUGGCUUUAGUAUAUCAUAUACAGUAAUUUUGAGCAAAACCUUAACUUCUCCUGAAAUUACAACAGCUUUUAGAUUUUCUACUUAGGGCUAUAGUCCAAUAUUAGCAUGCCAAUCAGUAGAUGUUCUUGACUUAGUGUUAUUAAUUAGAUACAGGUGCUAAUGUGCAGCCAAGUUCAUGUAAAUUGACAAUCAAGUAGACAAACGUAGUGUUUUAAUGACAUCUUUGAGAUAUUGUGAUUUAUAAAAACCAUCAAGUACUCACAAGCAGGGUGCAUCUUAGAAAAAUCUAUGAAGUAAAAAUUAAUACUCUAAUGCCCUGGUUUUAAGCACCUUUCUUUCCCCUGUUUUGACAGUGAAGACCAGUUCUUUUUUUGUUUGUUUUUGAGAUAGAGUCUCACUCUGUUGCCAGGUGCCAGGCUGGAGUGCAGUGGCACUAUCUCGGCUCACUGCAACCUCUGCCUUCUGGGUUCCAGCAAUUCUGCCUCAGCCUCCUAAGUAGCUGGCACUACAGGUGCACGCCACCAUGCCCAGCUAACUUUUGUAUUUUUAGUAGAGACAGGGUUUCACCAUGUUGGCAAGGAUGGUCUCGAUCUCUUCACCUCGUGAUCUGCCUGCCUCAGCCUCCCAAAGUGUUGGGAUUACAGGCCACGGUGAGCCACGGUGCCCGGCCUGGUGAAGACCGGUUCUAAUCUGAAUUCUACUGGGAUCCACCAGAGGUUAUUAAGCACGGAAUGACAGCACAUAGAAUAAUAGUGCUGGGACGUCACUCUAGCUAUGGUGUCAUAUGGGACUGGGGUUGGAUGGCCAGGGAAUUGGUAAUGGGGAGGUCCAGGUUUUAAAGGUCCCAAUGAGUGGCAGUGAAUGGGGCAGCCAGAAGAGAGAUGUGGGUAGCUCUGGUAAACCCAAACUUUCUAUUGAUCAGAAGCAGCUUAUUAUAAAGAUGACAUCUUUGCCAUUUCCCAACACUUAAAUCUCAUAGGUUCAACAUCUGAGAGCUGAAAAGAAUUUAGAGAUGACCCAGCCACCUUUCCUAGCCAAUUUAUUAAAAUCUGCUAAAAAUUCCAUUCUCAUCUUUAUCUUCCAGUUCUUGGACUUCUAUUUUUACUCUUUUCUAUUUAAACUAUCUACUUAUGUCAUUGUUCUAUUACGAUUCUUCCAUCUUUAUCCCCUAGUGUGCUACAUUCUGUCUCAUAAAUCUUUCCUUAAUGGCACUUUCCACAGCCUCCUCUAUAGCUUACUCUGCCAUGAUUUUGUUUAUGUUUUGGUCAGCAAUUACUUUAUCCAGCUGAAAUCUAUCGACACUAUUGUAUAUAGAGAGAACAACUGGUGGAAUAAAGUAAGUGUUUAUUCUUCACGUUGAUAUUCGCUCUUUCACUAGGACAUCACUCGUGUUCUUUUUAAAAUUGUACUGCUUUCGGUACAGUAUUUUGGUUUGCUGUCAUUUAGGGCAGUCCAGUAUCCAAAAGGAGUGUUGCUGCUUAGAUCCUCCAGAGGGCAAUGGGGCAUCCCAGAGCAGAUCCCUUUCCUGUGGGGGACAAAGGGAGGAGGGUCUUACCUGGACUAGGUAGGGUUCUUCACUGUUGCUGGCAUCAGCCACGUGGUUUUGUUUCUUUUCAGCAGAUUCCAAGCAAUCUGCUUCUGGACCAGCUUAGGGUAAGAGAGAGUCAGCCCUGGCAUUUUGUAGGGAGGGACUGGAGCCUGAGGGCAGGCCCAGGUUGGGUUCUCUUCAUUUGUCAUUUGUGAAUGUGUUCUUUAGUCGUCAUGAAGAAUGAAUUUGGUAUAAGGAAGGAGGCCUAACAGCACCUGAUGAGAAAAGUCUUCAAACUCUUCCUAGGCCACCAACUCAUGAGACUGAUUUGUGUUACACAAUACAUUGUACUGCAUUGAUAAUAAACAUUUCCCCCCCCACAGGUUCUUAUGACCUGGUAUAUCUUAUAGGAUCAAUCCCCUAAUAAAUGUAAGGCUUGUUGUAUUUAUGUCUGUCUUAUUCAGUAUUCCAGGUUUUUAUUUUCCUAAUUAGGAAAUUUUAAUUAGGUUUUUAGUUUCCUAAUUCUGUGAUUUAAUGUAAACAUGUUUUGAAUAACAUUAACUAUUUUUGUCAAGAGUUUGAAGGCUAUUUAUUGAUCACUGAGAAUUUUAUAGUUUAUAUGUUCUAUCUCUCAUAGUCCUAAAAAUGAUCUAUUCUUUGUACAGUGGCCACAGAGACAAAAUAAAAGACAAUUGGUUUAGACAAAAAAUAAUAUGGUUUAUAUUUUAGUAAUUUUUUUUUCAGACCUGUAGUACAUUUCUGGAUCUUUCCUGCUUAUUCCCUCUCCCCAAGUCUGGAUUCCAACGCAGUUUCCCAUACCCUAAUCCAAUCCAUAAUUUCUCAUCAGACCACCGCAUAGCUACUUAAAUGUGUCCCUCCCCAAAGACUUGAACUCCAGUUCAUUCUCACAGUGAUAAUGUGAGGAAAUAUAUGCAACAUAUACAAAUGAGGGGGUUUCAUGGGUAUAAAGAACUCUUACAAAUCACCAAACACCAUGUUCACGAGCAAAACAAUAUGGGAACAGUCCUGAUGGUAAACAUCACCAAUGUUCUACUUCCCUAGAAAUGAACUAAACACAAAUUCAAACGAUGAGAUGCUGUUUAUGCCUAUCAAAUGUAUUAAAAAUAUAUUCAGCAUUGACAAAUGUUUAGGGAAUAAAAAGCUCUUAAACAUUGCCAGUUGGAGUUUAUAAUGGUGCAGCCUUUUUGGAGGGCAAUUUGGUAAUACGUAGAUGACUUUAGAAGGAAUUCCACUUCUAUGAAUUUGUCUUAAGGGAAUAAUAAGACAGUGUUCAUGAACCAUGUAUAUGUAAGACUAUGUUUGCUGAGGCUGUUUAUAGUGAUGUAAUACAGAGACCAGCCUAACCUAAGGUAUUGGUUAAAUAAUAAAAUUAGGCAUAUCUAGAUAUUAGAAUUUCAUGGAGCCAUAAAAUUACAGAGAUUGUAAAAAAUUUGUUCUGAAAAACUUCCACAAUAUUUCUUAAGUUAAAAAAGUUACAAAGCAGCAUAUGUAUGUAAUACAACCUCCUUUUGUAAGGAAGAAGUAGGUUGGGGGUUUUAUAUAGCACAGGGAAAGUUUUGGAAGACUAUGUGCCAGAAUGUUAAUGUGUUUUGCUUUUGACGGCAAAUAUAUAGGUGGUUUUAAUAUUUUUUCAUGUUUGCCUAUACUUUAUUACUAAUGACAAAGAUGUAAACAUAUCUACAUAUAUAUGGCAAAUGCAUAUAUAAAUACAUAAAAAAUGUAUCAUAAAUAUAUCAGUAUCUCUCUAGAUAUACAAACUUUUUUUUUUGAGAUAGAGUCUCCAUUGCCCAGGCUGGAGUGCAGUGGUAUGAUCUCGGCUCGUUUCAACCUCUGCCUCCUGGGUUCAAAUGGUUCUCAGUGCCUCAGUCUCCCAAGUUGCUGGGACUACAGGCAUAUGACACCACCCUGGCUAAUUUUUGUAUUUUUACUAGAUGGGGUUUCACCAUGUGGGCUAGGCUGGUCUUGAACUCCUGGCCUCAUGUGAUCCACCUGCCUUGGCCUCCCAAAGUGCUGGGAUUACAGGCAUGAGCCACCGUGCCUAGCCAUAUACUUUAAAAAAUAAUAAUAAUAAGAAAAAACACCUUUGCCCGUGUGGUCAUUGCCAUCGCAGCCACCCAAGAGGUGCUGGGGGAGGACUGUAGCCCACAAGGCUCGGGGCAGACAAUGCAGCAGCAGUGGGAGCAGCAGAGGCAGAAGCUCCAGCACUCUCUCUCUUCCCACUCAGCCUGAGCCAGGGGAGGCCAGGCAGCCCAGGUGUCUGGAGGGGGAUCUGCAGCUGGAGAAUGAGAAUUCUCUUUACCAGAAUAUGGAGACUGUUCAAUCACCAGGAGCACAGAGUUAGCACUGUUGGGCGGGAUAAUACAGGGAAAACUACCAUCUUUUGCCAGUUUUCCAUGAAUGAAGUUGUACGUACAUCUCCUACAACAGGAACUAAUUAAUGGAGAAGACAUAGUGAUUAAUAAUACACGUUUCCUAAUGUGGGAUACUGGUGGCAAGAAUCUCUUCGUUCUUCCUAGAACAUUUAUUAUACUAACACAGAGUUUGUAAUAGUUGUUGUGGACAGUACAGACAGAGAGAGGAUUUCUUUAACUAGAGAAGAACUUAUAAAAUGUUAGCACAUGAGGACCUAAGAAAAGCUGGAUUGCUGAUUUUUGCUAAUAAACAAGGUGUUAAAGAAUGCAUGACAGUAGCAGAAAUCUCCCAGUUUUUGAAGCUAACUUCUAUUAAAGAUCAUCAGUGGCAUAUCCAGGCAUGCUGUGCUCUAACUGGAGAGGGAUUGUGCCAAGGACUUGAAUGGAUGAUGUCGUGACUUAAGACUAGAUUAUCUCUACUGACCUCUCAUAGACUCUGUAUAAAUGAAGUGCUGGACUGGACCUGACAGCUGCAAAAAUGAAUGGUUUCAAUAUAUUUAUAAUAAACGGAUUUAAACUUUUUCUGUAAGAAGAAAAAUUAAGACCACUUAUUUGAAAACAAAGAUGAAGUCUCAGCUUCCAAUUUGCUUUCUCAUUAGUUUUUUCCAAAGUAAGUUAUUAAAUGUCAAUUAAAGUGAUUGACAUUUUUCUCAUAAUGAAUCCUCUCAGGACAUUGUGUAGCCUGUGGUAAGUACAAAGGGAGAGGAAGAUAUUUUGAAUUUUAAGAGCUUUAUUAUCAGUAUAACCCUCCCUGGUUGAAUGUUGUUUUCUUCUUGUUCCAUUAAGUCAAAAUACAAAUCAGCACAGAUAUUUAGUUUCCAAUAUUUUCAAAUGUAAUGUUACUUCUGAAAAGUAUUUUGCUUAACAUUGUGUGUGUAUUGUGUAUAUACCUCAAGUUCAAGUUAAUGGCUUUCAUUUAUGUUCUAAAGAAAGAGAAAUAACACAAAUAUUAAUAAUAUCCUUAGUUAUAACCAUAAUAAGUAUUGGCAUUGGUGUUAAGUGCCAUUUUCUACUUUGUCCCUAUGUUCUCUGUAUUGUACUAACCAAUCUCCCAAAUUAUUGAGCUGCUUGUUAAAAAAGAAAAAAGGGAAAAGGAAAAAGCAUGGCAUUGUGUAUCAAUUUUUUUGUUGUUGACCAGUCACACACAUGGAAACAUGUAAUUCAAGAGAGUGGGAUAGCACUCAGAUUCUUGGCUUCAUACUAUUAACGGGCGGGAUUGUACAAUGAGCAACUAUCAGAGUAUUCCUUUCAGUGGUUUUUAUGGCAUCUAAAUUACUGAAUAAAUUAUUAAUCCAUUAAUCAGUGAAUCAUUUUAUGAUUAAAAUUAUCAAAGGAAUUCUCAGCAUUAAUUGAAAAGUAUGCGUGAAACAUGUCUACCCAGAAAAGUAACAUUCUAUAAGUACUAUUCAACAACUUAGCUAUGUUAUUUUUAAAUAUUAAAUUAUUUGUCAAGCAGUUAAAGUGAAUUUUAAAAUAAAAGUAAAGUAUGUUUCUGAGCAACUUUGAUAAUUUCUUAGUUUGCAAAUUUCUUCUUAUUUUGGUACUUAACAUAUAGUGUGAUAUAUUUUAUUUCUAAAUUUUGUUGUAUCUUCUGUUACAUAAAUGCAUUGUUUGACAAAAAUGCAAGUUUUCUGAAUGAUUAAAAAAAGAAAAAAGAAAAAAAAUGGAUUAUUCUCCAGAGGUUGAGAGCUAGGACUUCAUGUGUUGUUUUCUUUUUCUUGGUGAGUGAGGAUGUUGUAGUAAACUUGAGAGGAGGAAGUAAAAGUCUAGAUAGGUGCAUGGCUGUGUACUGUAGUGUUUUUGUUGUUUUCUGAUAAAUGUAUCAUAAUUUACAGAAAUAUAUGACCUUUCAGAUUCACAAUAGAAUGAGAGAAAAAUACAUGUAAAGUAAUUAUAAUUUAAUAUGUACUGUUAUUUAAUUUCCUGUUUAACUGUACAUCUUUAAAAUGCUUUUAUUCUUUUCAAGCAAUAUAUGAUCACAGCUUAAAAAAUAUCAACAAGUGUUGAAUUCUAGCAACAAAAAAAAUCAUCCUCCUGUCUCACCUUUCUGUGUCCCUGGACCUACUUUCAAAGGGAGAAAUCUCCGGGAAAAUUAUACUGAUAUUUUUAGUGCCAUAUUUCUAUUAUGAAUACAUUGCUGUUUUUUAAUUGAUCAACUUGGGACAUUUUUCUAUUGCUUCCUGGUGCUUGUAGACAGGAUGCAGCUCUUCUAUCUCACUGUGACCACCACUUCCCUUAGCUCCCUAAUAUAACUAUACUGGUUAAAUCAAGUAAUGUGCACAUCAGUGCUACGUAAAUAUUGUUCAUGGUUUAGGUUAGUAGUACACUAUGACUGUUUUCUUUUUUGAUGCUCUCUUUGUUUGUCCUAGACUUAAUUGCCUUUUUUAUUUGCAUAGUUUUUAUGCAUUUAGGAAACAAUAAUGCUUUAAAAAGUUGUGCCAAACAAUUUAAAAUUUUUUCAAAAUCUUAACACAGCAAAAUUCCAUUCUAAUUCCAUUUUUUUUUUUCCUGAAGACAGUUCUCUCUUCUAACAUGGACUGGUUGUUCUUAGCCCAGCUCUGUGUGUGUGUGUGUGUGUGUGUGUGUGUGUGUGUGUGUGGUCUUAGGAUUAGAACUAUAUAGUUUGAUUCGAUAACUCUUCUCUAUAUUCUUCAGUUAGAUUCAUCAUUUUAUUGGAUUUCAUGUUAUCUUUCCUUUUUUUCUAAAGAGCAUAUCCUGUAAUAGUUUUCUCAGAAAGAUUGUAUGGGAGGUAAAUUUUUUGUAUCUGUUUUACCUGUAUACUUACCUGAGAAGUUGCGUUUUUGAAUUACAGGUUGAGAAUCCUUUUUUUUUUUUUUAAGUAUUUUGAAGGUGUUUCUGGUGGGAAACAUAAAGAUCCUCCUAGUUGGAGGAACAAGUAAGCUUUCCUGGUUUUCAAAAUCCUACCAAAGCACCCAGUGACAAUGAAACUGAUGGUGGUAAGGAUCCUGUCAGGUCCUCCUAGAAGCAAAAGUUUGGCCAGUCUCAUAAGGGCGUACAUGCUUUUUAGCCUCACCUCAUAUUCAGGAAACUCUGGCUAUGUGCUAAGUAACUGGUAACAUCCCAACCCGUUGAGUACUUACUGCAGCCGGUGAGGCUAAGCUCACCUUCUCAGGUGCACCAUCCCACUAGCAAGCCUAGCCGUCAGACCUGCCGGAUUUCUAUUCCUGCAGACUUUCUUGGAUGGUAAUGAGUUCCUCCCCCGUUGGGGUUGUAUGGAUGGAAUUGAAUGGUAAAAUUGAUUCCUGAAGAUUUUUUAGAAGUGCAACUUGAGACUCUAAGAGAAUCCUGUGGCAUGAAGUCUCCAUGAUCCUGUAACUGUUGAGCUGGUAUUCUUCUUGGCCAGAUGACCUGUUCUGGGAUCUUGAGCUGCAGCACUUGUAGCCAUUCUUUAAGAGAUUGCCUCUCGGAAGUUUUGUCCUUAUUCUUUCUUCCCACUGGCCCUGUGCCUUGCCUUCCCUUCCCUCCCCUCCCCUCCCCUCCC